AUAAACUUAAAUUUUCAAAAAUAAUUUUUGUUAGAUAUGACUCAAAAUCUAUUAUCGACUCAAGUUCGGAUUUACGACUCGCCGACAGCUUCGCGGUGCGACCAACUUGGAAAAAAAAAUUAUGAAGAAAAAAUGAAUGCUUGUGGUGGGUAGCGGAGGGCUCGGGCUGACAGGCCCGAGCCCGUAGCCCACCACUGACAUUCGCCAGAGGGUGCGGGGGGCUCCGUCCCCCGCGGUACGGAUCGAAUCCGAAACCCGUUAUGAGUUUUCCUUCUCAUUUUUGCCCUAGAGACGUGUGAUCGUGGUUGGUUGUAACCUGAAGAACAUUGUAUUUUCUUUUUCGUUCCAUAGUGAAGUUCUCUCCUCCCUCACCCGUGGUUUUUUUUCUGCAAAGAGUUUUUCACGUAAAUCUGUAUUUCUUUAUUUUCUGCUUGUGGUUUGAUUGUUUUUUGUGUUCGUCAUUUCGUUUCCGUUUGUGCAUUUGUCGUAACAAUUUUUUUUUAAAAUUGUCCGAAGUCAUCUUUAUAAAAUUAUUCAAAACAUUGCCUAUUACUAGAUGUUGAAUCUCCCCAAACAUUAUACUAGUUGAUGGUGAGACUAAUAUUUUUAUUUUUACCAAACUUAAGUUUUCAACGAAAUUACAAUAACAUCAAUGUAAAAUGUCCUUUAGAAUCAGAAUCCCUAUAUGUUAAGCCAAGAUUUGUCACCAAAAAUUAUUUGUUACUCUUACUUACUUUUUAACAAAUAUUUUUUUGAGAAAAAAUUAGCAUGCUGUCCGCUUUAA
RNAcentral lists this long non-coding RNA (784 nucleotides) under Ananas comosus (pineapple). Its description in RNAcentral is "long non-coding RNA (ACOM_LNC025299)". The record is from RNAcentral. Lineage: Eukaryota; Viridiplantae; Streptophyta; Magnoliopsida; Poales; Bromeliaceae.